CAACCCUCAAGCGCGGCUUGGUGUUGGGCGCGGCCUGCCCGGCCGGCCCCAAAGGCAGUGGCGGCGCCGUCGGGCCCGAAGCGCAGUACGACUCUCGCUCUCGGGUCCCGCGGUGGCCUGCCAGAACCCCGACUCUGC
RNAcentral lists this unclassified non-coding RNA (138 nucleotides) under uncultured Helotiales. RNAcentral describes it as "sequence contains ITS2". The record is from RNAcentral. Lineage: Eukaryota; Fungi; Ascomycota; Leotiomycetes; Helotiales.